CCCAGACUCCUACGGGAGGCAGCAGUGGGGAAUAUUGCACAAUGGGGGAAACCCUGAUGCAGCGACGUCGCGUGAGUGAUGAAGUAUUUCGGUAUGUAAAGCUCUAUCAGCAGGGAAGAAAAUGACGGUACCUGACUAAGAAGCCCCGGCUAACUACGUGCCAGCAGCCGCGGUAAUACGUAGGGGGCAAGCGUUAUCCGGAUUUACUGGGUGUAAAGGGAGCGUAGACGGCCAAGCAAGCCAGGGGUGAAAGCCCGGGGGCCAACCCCGGGACUGCCCUUGGAACUGCAUGGCUGGAGUGCGGGAGGGGCAGGCGGAAUUCCUAGUGUAGCGGUGAAAUGCGUAGAUAUUAGGAGGAACAUCAGUGGCGAAGGCGACUUUCUGGACUGUAACUGACGCUGAGGCACGAAAGUGUGGGGAGCAAACAGGAUUAGAUACCCCAGUAGA
This 447-nucleotide ribosomal RNA is filed under the name uncultured bacterium. RNAcentral describes it as "bacterial SSU rRNA". It matches the Rfam family "Bacterial small subunit ribosomal RNA", at positions 330 to 794 of the family's 1533-position model. The record is from RNAcentral.